AGGAGGCGAGAGCGCGCGCGCUGGGGAGGGUGGGAAAACGGGCCUGCGUGGGGCGGGGCCUACCGGAUGAUUGGCACCGAGUGCUGGGUUAAGCUCCUUGACUUCUGCUAGACUCCCUUUCCGCUGAGUGAAGAAGGUCCACGUGGUUCCUGGCCUUCUCUGGCUAGCCUGGUUGUCCCCAAGCCGCAAGGUGAUGAAUCCCAUGGAGUGACGACCUUCUAUUUUUCAAUGUCCAACCUUCCCACAUUCUGCCUCUCUUCUAUCAGACUGUUCAAACAAUGGACCGGAAGAAAUUGCAGUUUCCCCAGGACUCUCGUUCUGGAAGAAGAGAAAGAUUAAAGCCUGGACCCGCCAGAGAGGAAACCUCUCUCUGGAACUUUUAAAGCAUUGUGCAGAAGAGACUCCGGUCCUCCACUUAAACUGUAACCUUGGCUCAGGACCCCGAAGAUGCACUUGGAAAGCUGCCGGACCUCUCUGUCUCUUUUCCUUGUGCGCUCAUGUUGAAUCAGUCUCCCUCUUC
Long non-coding RNA from Mastomys coucha (southern multimammate mouse), 520 nucleotides. RefSeq lists it as uncharacterized. The record is from RefSeq and is a predicted model, not a curated record. Lineage: Eukaryota; Metazoa; Chordata; Mammalia; Rodentia; Muridae. The transcript has 3 exons.